UAAAGUCAUGCUUCUUCUGAUCGUCUGU
RNAcentral lists this non-coding RNA (28 nucleotides) under Mus musculus (house mouse). The record is from RNAcentral. Lineage: Eukaryota; Metazoa; Chordata; Mammalia; Rodentia; Muridae.